AAUUAGUUAGAGGUGAAGUCUCUGUUAGUAUCUUUGUUACAAUUGGUUAAAUGUUAGUUAGGAUUCAGUUAGAUUAGUUUGAAGCUAUUAGAGUGAGUUUGAUGUUAGUGAAAUGUAACUUCUAUGUUGCAGUUAGCAAAUCAAACACAUGAAAUGAGCAUAAAGCUAGAGCCUUAACCAGGACCAAAUCAAAGGCUCUCCAUUUGAAUUAUCUUCAAUGGCGGAAUCAUGUUGAGCAUAAGGCUUGGGCUUGACAUGGAUCGAAGAUGUGGAUCACGAAGAGAUGAACAAGACAAGACAUAUGGAGGAACCUUGAAGUCCAAGAAUGCACAAAGUUGACAUGUCUUUAGGAUGAAUAAAAUGAGGGAUUUAGGUUUAGGAUUAGACAAUUGACUUUGGUCAACUGGUUGAAAAAAAAGUCUAUAGUUUACGAGAAUUAACUAUAGGUCCCAAUUUAGUAAUUUGUGCAAAGUUUGUAACUUGGAUCUUGAAUAUUAUAAUGAAACAUCUGAUGUAAUGUAAUUGGAAAUCUUGAAAUGAAAAAGGAUUUUGAAUCCCAAACAACAAAGCUUUCCCUCCAAAACUGAGGAAAUGAUCAUU
Molecule: long non-coding RNA, 600 nt
Organism: Lathyrus oleraceus (garden pea)
Lineage: Eukaryota; Viridiplantae; Streptophyta; Magnoliopsida; Fabales; Fabaceae
Exons: 4
Source: RefSeq, a predicted model, not a curated record